UUUAGCAUGGAAUAAUGGAAUAGGACGCGCGGUUCUAUUUUGUUGGUUUAUAGGACCGCCGUAAUGAUUAAUAGGGACAGUCGGGGGCAUCAGUAUUCAACUGUCAGAGGUGAAAUUCUUGGAUCAGUUGAAGACUAACUACUGCGAAAGCAUUUGCCAAGGAUGUUUUCAUUAAUCAGGAACGAAAGUUAGGGGAUCGAAGACGAUCAGAUACCGUCGUAGUCUUAACCAUAAACUAUGCCGACUAGGGAUCGGACGGUGUUAUUCAUGACCCGUUCGGCACCUUACGAGAAAUCAAAGUGCUUGGGCUCCAGGGGGAGUAUGGUCGCAAGGCUGAAACUUAAAGAAAUUGACGGAAGGGCACCACCAGGGGUGGAGCCUGCGGCUUAAUUUGACUCAACACGGGGAAACUCACCAGGUCCAGACACAAUAAGGAUUGACAGAUUGAGAGCUCUUUCUUGAUUUUGUGGGUGGUGGUGCAUGGCCGUUCUUAGUUGGUGGGGUGACUUGUCUGCUUAAUUGCGAUAACGAACGAGACCUUAACCUGCUAAAUAGCCCGCAUUGCUCCGGCAGUGCGCUGGCUUCUUAGAGGGACUUUCGGCUCAAGCCGAAGGAAGUUUGAGGCAAUAACAGGUCUGUGAUGCCCUUAGAUGCUCUGGGCCGCACGCGCGCUACACUGACGGGGUCAGCGAGUUCCUUGGCCGAAAGGCCCGGGUAAUCUUGUUAGCCCCCGUCGUGCUGGGGAUAGAGCAUUGCAAU
This 759-nucleotide ribosomal RNA is filed under the name Acremonium sp. 14I-1. RNAcentral describes it as "SSU rRNA". It matches the Rfam family "Eukaryotic small subunit ribosomal RNA", at positions 803 to 1590 of the family's 1831-position model. The record is from RNAcentral. Lineage: Eukaryota; Fungi; Ascomycota; Sordariomycetes; Hypocreales; Bionectriaceae.